UGGGUAGUUUAGAGGGGUGAGUAAGCAUUCUAAAAUAGAGAAUGCAAUGAUGGGGUUAGAGAGAGUAUUUCUAACUCUCACAGAAGAACUAAAGGAGAGCGAGAAGUUUUGGAAAAGGGAAAAGUAGGAAAACGGAAAAAAGGGAGAUGAGAGAGUGCCUGGUGUGUUCUUCAAUUGGUACAAAAGGCCUGGGAGUGACUCCGGACACUUCGGAGGCUUAGAGAGGUAUUCUAGUUAGCUGGACACGAGGUACCAGUAUGAAGGAACAUGAGGAUGACCUGUCUCUAAAUGAAUAGCCAUAUCAUAUGUGUGUUGGUUCCUAGUUGUAAUUAAAAUAAAGUGUCUUAGUAUCUUAAGAGUGUGUGGUAAGAGUACUAAAGAUGUAUUAAAUAAACAGAUCUAAAUGAACUUUUAGAUGGCUCUGGUUCCAUCAUAAUUUUGUUGUAAUAUUUCAAUUUUGUUUUACU
Molecule: small RNA, 467 nt
Filed under: Malus domestica (apple)
Lineage: Eukaryota; Viridiplantae; Streptophyta; Magnoliopsida; Rosales; Rosaceae
Description: sRNA MD17G0183000
Source: RNAcentral